Long non-coding RNA from Octopus sinensis (East Asian common octopus), 99 nucleotides. RefSeq lists it as uncharacterized. The transcript has 3 exons. The record is from RefSeq and is a predicted model, not a curated record. Lineage: Eukaryota; Metazoa; Mollusca; Cephalopoda; Octopoda; Octopodidae.
AGCCAUACCUAGGUGGAUUAGCUUGCGGUCUGGACAAAGACAUUGAUGAGGAGAAUGAUGAUAACGAUGAUAUUAAUAGGAGAAAAGAAGCGCCCGCCG